This 371-nucleotide ribosomal RNA is filed under the name uncultured bacterium. RNAcentral's name for it is "bacterial SSU rRNA". It matches the Rfam family "Bacterial small subunit ribosomal RNA", at positions 527 to 896 of the family's 1533-position model. The record is from RNAcentral.
GGAGGGUGCAAGCGUUAAUCGGAGUUACUGGGCGUAAAGCGCACGCAGGCGGUUUGUUAAGUCAGAUGUGAAAUCCCCGGGCUCAACCUGGGAACUGCAUCUGAUACUGGCAAGCUUGAGUCUCGUAGAGGGGGGUAGAAUUCCAGGUGUAGCGGUGAAAUGCGUAGAGAUCUGGAGGAAUACCGGUGGCGAAGGCGGCCCCCUGGACGAAGACUGACGCUCAGGUGCGAAAGCGUGGGGAGCAAACAGGAUUAGAUACCCUGGUAGUCCACGCCGUAAACGAUGUCGAACUUGGAGGUUGUGCCCUUGAGGCGUGGCUUCCGGAGCUAACGCGUUAAGUCGACCGCCUGGGGAGUACGGCCGCAAGGUUA